UUUCCGUAGGGUCGUAGAAUUUUCGCGUCCGCCGUCGGUGUGUUUUUCGUUUUUCUCGCGUGCGUGUGUGCGUGUGAAGGUGCGGCUGGCUUUGGCUGUCCCGAUGACAGUUGAGCCAGUCAGAUUUGCGAUUCCUUUUCGUAGGGUCGUAAAAUUUUCGCGUCCGCCGUCGGUGUGUUUUUCGUUUUUCUCGCGUGCGUGUGUGCGUGUGAAGGUGCGGCUGGCUUUGGCUGUCCCGAUGACAGCUAGCCAGUUUGAUUUGACCCUAUCAACACCCUAUCAUACCAUUUCAGCUCGAUACACAUCGAAACUCGUCGUUCGCACCGUUAAUCAGUACCUCACUGAACAUCAAUCAUUUAAAACUCGUAAAAUCAUCUCAAGUUAAAAGUUACAUUGUUGUCCUUCAUUCUUUAAUUACAAAUGAUUUUUGUUCUAUCUUUCCACAGCCGGCUGUCUAGGACUAGACCAUUUCAUUUAAAAUUUAACAACCGAUAAACGGGAAAUGUCUCAUCCGCAGCAUCCGAUUGUUUGCCUUGAGAAUAAUAUAUAACAUCUUUUAACAAACACUAUGAUUUUGGGUCGCAUCAUCAUCUUCUAUGAUGAAUCCUGACCAAACACCCUAUCCUACUAACAAGUUUUCAGGUUCCUGGCGCUCGUGGGGUGUAAGCACAGAGUAAAUCAGCUGCCCUAGUAGCAACCUGCGCUAACUAACAUUCCCGUCCCUUAAAAUCGAGGUCUACAAACUGACAUGGCGGGCGCCGUUGGUGGCCAAUGACUGUUACCUAUUCGCAACUGAUCUAGCUUUAGCAAUCAUGGUGUUUUAUCUUUUCAGCGCAUUCAUACAUGCUGUUGAUAAGGGAAACACCACUAGAUCGUCGAAGCCUAUAAUCAGUAGUGCUGAAAGGAUAUUACGGUUCUGUUCAGCAACGGAGGGGCAACCAUGGGUGAUCUCUCAUGCU
Molecule: long non-coding RNA, 959 nt
Organism: Culex pipiens pallens (northern house mosquito)
Lineage: Eukaryota; Metazoa; Arthropoda; Insecta; Diptera; Culicidae
Exons: 2
Source: RefSeq, a predicted model, not a curated record